This 1381-nucleotide long non-coding RNA is filed under the name Homo sapiens (human). RNAcentral describes it as "HSALNT0074247". Lineage: Eukaryota; Metazoa; Chordata; Mammalia; Primates; Hominidae. The record is from RNAcentral.
CGGAAACGCAGAUGCGCCACAUAGGGGAACUCAAACUGGAAACGUUGGCUGCAUUCCAGGCAUGUGUAAGGGGACGACCCUGCUUAGUGAGCAAACACCACACACACGCACGCACGCACACACACACACACACGCACACCACAUGAUUACUCAGCAUCGCCCCCAAGCCAGUUUGCCACCAUCCCCUUGACAAAUCCACCUUCAUUUCUCAGGGCCUGAGUGCCUGAGAAAAGAAUGACCAACCUGAUCUAACUUUCCCUCCUGAUUUGGAGGGAAUACAGCAAACAAGCAAGUUUCCUCGCUUUAUCCUCACCUAUCUGUUUAACUUCAUUCCAGACUACAUCUCAGAAUCUUCCUAUGAGACACCCGAAGGGAAGAAAGGCGCGCCAACGCGCCGGGCUUCAAGGUUCUGCUCUUCCUUAUCUCUGGCCGAUUGGACCAACCGCAGCCACAUGAGACCUUCUGAGGAACCAUUUGCUGCUGAGGUGUCUACCUGCGGUUUGAAAUAAAUGAAAGAAGACAAGAAGGAGAGGGGGAGAGGGACCCUCAUGAGGGAAUGAAAUCAGAAGAAUCAAGACCAUUUCUUCUAUGUUAGUCUUUUCCAAAAAUUGUCUGAGACCACGCUUCCAAAAGUUUGGCCCAAGCUGGGACCUGUCCUCAUGUUUGUAACCAUUAGGCAAGAUAACCAUUCUUUGAAACACUGCAUCAAUCAUAUAGUUUAUUUAAGUCACCGUUUUUAUAUAUUGGUUGAAUACUAAAUGAGGAAAUUUCUUCUUAUAAUUUAGUGUUAACCCCUUGAGAGUUUACUUCUAAGUUAUUCCACAUUACAAAGGUAUGGAGAAUUUUGUUUGUUUCAGAAAUAAAGCAAGCUUAGAUCUUAGAAAUUAUGCUAUGGCAAUCAUGUUCCUAAUCUUGGCUAGAACAAUUAAUAGAUUUUCUUUGUAAAGAAGAAUAGGAAAUGAGAGGUCUGAAUCUUCCAAUUCAGACAUAUGGAUUUGAUGAUGCUUUACUGUCAAAACCAUAAACAUUUUUAUUUAAAUACAAACUCUGGGCACUAGCUAAUAUUACCAAAGAAACUAAUCUUUAGGGGAUGAAGAAGCCUCCUCAAAUGGAAGGCAGAUGUACCCAAUACUUGUCAAAGAACUUGCAGAAACUAGUUAGUAUGCAAAUAGCCUCCACCCCAGUGAAAUCUCCCAGAGUUUAGGAAGUCGUGUUCAUCACCAGGAUAAUCCAGAACUGAAGCACUGAUUUAGAUAUUUCUAACAUUCCAAAUCAAAUUUUGUCAUUUAUUCCAAAAAAUCAGUUGACAAUAAUUUGAGUUUAAUUUUCCUUUUCUAAUUUUUGAUGUGUGAAAUGGGAUUGCUUGCAUUAUUGCAUUUUU